RNAcentral lists this long non-coding RNA (2434 nucleotides) under Salmo salar (Atlantic salmon). Its description in RNAcentral is "lncRNA (ENSSSAG00000097151.1)". The record is from RNAcentral. Lineage: Eukaryota; Metazoa; Chordata; Actinopteri; Salmoniformes; Salmonidae.
AAAGGAUCAAUUAACACAAAUAUAAUAUAUUUUUAUUGCCCUCAAUCGCUCAAAACAAAAAUAAACCACAUUUAGAAUAGAUUCAUAUCAUGAGAAAGAAAAUAUUAGAAAAUACAGAAAUGAAUUUGUCCAAGAAGAAAAAAAUCUUACAAAACAAAAUGUGUAUACAUGUGAAUUGAACAUUUUACCCCACAUCAUAUUAUGAAAUUAAAGACAUUCAAGAAAUAAACAGGCCAAGCCACUUUCAUUACAGGUGUCUGUAUCUAACUAGUAACCUGCUAGGGCUUUUUCUUGAUUGAAAGCACAUUCUUCCAUUCUAUUGUUAGUAGGACAUUUUGGAACUUCUUUUUCACCACUGGCAUUUGAGUUCCAGCAGAGGGCACCACCACAUCAUCUGACCUUACAUGCCUCAAGACCUCCCGUGUAACUCUAAGCUCUUUUAUUUUCGCCGGGGAAUCAGAGUGACUUCUUCCCCUGUGAAUGGGAGUGGGUGUAGAGGGCACAGCGCCUACUGUAGCCCCUUGUACAACCCUUCCAUGUUCAUUAAACAUGACAUUUUUGUCAUUCAGCAGACGCUCUUAUCCAGAGUCACUGCACAGUUUGUGCAUCUAUCUUAAGAUCGCUAGGUGAGACAACCACAUGACACAGUCAUAGUCAGUACAUUUUUCCUCAAUGAAUGAUCAAAGCGAGUAAGAAAAGAGUAGUGGUAGGUGUCAACAAGGGUGUUAAAGAUACUGAAGAGGUGGCUUUUCAGAUGUUUUCGGAAGAUGGGCUGUGACUCAGCUGUCCUGAUUUUUAGGGAGAACUGGAAGCUUGUUCCACCAUUUGGGUGCCAGGACAGAGAAUAGCUUUGCCUGGGAUGAACGAGAGCCAGGCUCACCCUGGUAUUUUGCUGUGUUGGGAAAGCUACUCAGAUAAGAUAGUUUAGCAAGCUACCAAUUACCUCACACUGGAAGAAGUUAAGAAAAAUUGUUUACUUAAAGUUAUUUUGAAAAAGUAGUUCACUACAUCCAAACUACUUUUUGAAAAAGUAUCAUAUCUAAAUCUGAAAUGUCAGACUACAAAUUGCAAGAGAUCACUUUGGGGUCAUAUAUUAACAGAAUGUGUAAUUUAGCCUAAACACAAAAACUAUGUUUCAAGUGAGAAACAGGUUGGUCUGAUGCCAAAAAAUGGAAAUGAUGGCCUACUUCACUCAUUUUAUUUUAGCCAAAAAUGUAGUGUGUAGUUCCAGUAGUUAGCUACACAGCUAAAAUGUAGUGUGUAGUUCCUGUAGUUAGCUACACCGCUACACGGCUAAAAUGUAGUGUGUAGUUCCAGUAGUUAGCUACCCCGCUACGUGGCUAAAAUGUAGUGUGUAGUUCCAGUAGUUAGCUACACCGCUACAUGGCUAAAACGUAAUAUGUAGUUCCAGUAGUUAGCUACACCACUACAUGGCUAAAACGUAAUAUGUAGUUCCAGUAGUUAGCUACACUGCUACAUGACAACAAGUAAUGAACUACUGCAAACACUAUCUAGAUUUGAAUUUAGCUCCACUACCACCAAGCUACUGCAAAAUGUAGUUAAUUUACUAGUAAUCUGGUGCAGUAGCAGACACAGGGUCAGGUACUGGGCCAGGAGCACUAUGGGCACUCCUGUCCAGUACCCUCCCUGUUAGCCCAGCUGGUAGCAGGUGUAUGGGUUUUCCCAGGAGCCUCUGCUUCAUCUCAUAACUUUCCUUGGAAGGUCCUACAAGGCGGAGGAGAUCUCCAACCUGAUUGACGAGGACAGUGGGAUAAAUUAUAUUAUACUUCUGAACCAGUUCAUGAAUUCUAACCUGUCGGUCGCGAUCGAGUGUCCAUAGUGGGAUUUCUUGAGUUCGUAGUCUUAAAUGAAGCUUGGUGAGAAAAACUUGCAGCUUUUCCAUAACCCUCUCUGGACUCUUCCCUUUAAGGAAAACAUAGCGGAGGUCUGAACUGUCAGCUGGCUUAACAUCCAUUUGAGUUGUGUGGCCUACAAGAAUGGAAUCAAUGUCCUUUUUCCUGACGCACAGGGCAUAACUGAGCACAUCUGCGUCUGUUAUGAAGAAGACCUCACUGCAAGAUUGGGUCUGGGAGAUGGGUUCCACUGGCUUGGGGGAUGGGUUCCUCAUAUGGGUCAAGUUGUCCCCAACAUACCCCGUUGCUUGUCGGCUGGGAAAUGGGUUGCAGCGGAUUGAGGAUUUGGAAAUGGCCCCAGAGGCAUGGCUAUUGAGACUGGAUGGGGAAGGGCUGCUGUGGCGCAGGGUGUUUGUGUCCUGGGGUAAGACCUGCUGCAGUUGGAAGGAGCCCUGAAUGGGUAGCUGACCAUGGGGAAUCUCGUUCACAGGCUGGAGCGCCUUCUCGCUGUCAAUGGAGAACAUGCUCACAUCCAGAUUGGCCUUGACUGGCAUGUCCACCUGCGACACACACAUAUACAC